RNAcentral lists this long non-coding RNA (396 nucleotides) under Panax ginseng (ginseng). RNAcentral's name for it is "long non-coding RNA (PGIN_LNC008548)". The record is from RNAcentral. Lineage: Eukaryota; Viridiplantae; Streptophyta; Magnoliopsida; Apiales; Araliaceae.
AUUAUAAUAAACCCAAAACUACUAAUAAAAGGAAUAUUAAAAAAUAUAAGUCUAAAAAAUAUGAUAAAAGUAAAGUUAUUUGCCACAAUUGUGGACAAAAGGGUCAUUAUAAAAAUGAAUGUAAAAUAAAACAAAAAUUAAAUCAGUUAAAUAUUUCUAGUGAAGAUACUGAGCAAAUCCUAGAACUUAUGCGAAUAGAAAAUGAUAACAGUAAUAAUGAAUAUUCUUCUAGUUCCUCUAGUAAUAAAAGUAAUAACACAUCUAGUAGUGAUACAGCAGAAGUCACUAUUUGCGCUGACAAUUGCAAUGAGCAGUGUUGCACAAAAAGAAUUAAUGUUAUCAACAAAGACGAUGAAGAAAGCUCUUUAUUAAUUGAUCUAAUUAGUAAGAUUACUG